UGCGGACGCUUCCAGUCAUUUAUGAGGUAAUAUGUGUGAGUCAUUGAUAUGACCAGCGGGUCCUGGUAAUACAUACCUCCAUGGACCCGGACGUUAGUAAGCAGACAACAGUCAAUACAGACAUUAGAUAGAGACAGUGGAUACGGACAGUGGACGAGAACACUAGACAAAGACAGUGGUAGUCGACAACGACAGAAGACAGUCGUCAGGCCAGUGGGCAGUAGGGAAGGACAGUGGAAAGUGGACAAGGACAGGACAGGACAGUGGCUAAUACACUUGUCCCGACAUCAAUUUUGUUCGACGGCUACGAUGUAUAGGAGAUGGGAUACACGCCCUCUGGUCCACCAUAGUGACGAUACUGGUGAUACUCGGCACCUUGCUGCAGAUUUAUGGAACCAACGCAAUAUCAAAGAAUGAAGAAAAUGUUAAUUCGAACUCAAUUUAAGCAUAUGAUACUUAUCGGAUCCGUUAAGAUUUCUUCAAACACCCGUGCCGGUCAGCUUGCUUUAAAUAUAAGCAUGUUUAGAUUAUCCUCAACAUCCAACAGUCUGUCUGCUCGCCUCUUUCGAGGAAGGGAAUGAUCAAAUUCUUGUGGUCAAUGCAGAUAAUACGCGCUCUUCUUCUCUUCGUAUUGAAAAUAGUCAAUUAAUGCUUCGUUUAUCAUGAGUUUUAACAUUCAUGUAUACACAAUUAUUUAAUUAAUAAAAUAUUA
Molecule: long non-coding RNA, 712 nt
Filed under: Mizuhopecten yessoensis (Yesso scallop)
Lineage: Eukaryota; Metazoa; Mollusca; Bivalvia; Pectinida; Pectinidae
Description: uncharacterized LOC110443200, transcript variant X1
Source: RNAcentral